UACGUAGGGUGCGAGCGUUGUCCGGAAUUAUUGGGCGUAAAGCGCGCGCAGGCGGUCCUUUAAGUCUGAUGUGAAAUCUUGCGGCUCAACCGCAAGCGGUCAUUGGAAACUGGGGGACUUGAGUACAGAAGAGGAAAGCGGAAUUCCACGUGUAGCGGUGAAAUGCGUAGAGAUGUGGAGGAACACCAGUGGCGAAGGCGGCUUUCUGGUCUGUAACUGACGCUGAGGCGCGAAAGCGUGGGGAGCAAACAGG
RNAcentral lists this ribosomal RNA (253 nucleotides) under uncultured bacterium. Its description in RNAcentral is "partial 16S ribosomal RNA". It matches the Rfam family "Bacterial small subunit ribosomal RNA", at positions 524 to 776 of the family's 1533-position model. The record is from RNAcentral.